UUUGAAGAAAUUAGAGUGCUUAAACCAGGCUUCAAGUGCUAGAAUAGUUAUGGAUGGAAUAAGGAAAUAAGACUUCUGUUCUACUUGUACUGGUUUAUAGAUCAAGAGAUAAUAAUAAAUAGGAACAGUUUAGGAUCAUUAGUAUCAUGUCCCGAGAGGUGAAAUUCUUGGACUGUCGUAACUUAACGAAACCAUUUGCCAAAUAUGUUUUCAUU
Molecule: non-coding RNA, 215 nt
Filed under: Megaselia scalaris
Lineage: Eukaryota; Metazoa; Arthropoda; Insecta; Diptera; Phoridae
Description: Eukaryotic small subunit ribosomal RNA
Rfam family: Eukaryotic small subunit ribosomal RNA
Source: Rfam by way of RNAcentral